GGGAUACAGAGUGGCUUAUGGAAGGCUUCGUACCUGUCGUGUAACCGACGUGGGACCUGAGCCACCUAGCCUUACCCCAGUGUCCAUGCUCUUCAUCAGGACAUGCAACAGCUUUGUCACUGUGCAUAAAUGAAGGAAGGAAGUAAAGGAAUGAAAAUGCUGCCUGCCUUCUAGCUGUUUGAUGGAAUGCUGCACUUCCAUGCUUCAGGGAGGGAUACUUCAUUCUUUGCUGCUCAAACUUAUAUGAUUGAAGAUGCAUUCUAAAAAGGUAUCUGGCUUUGUCUCCUUGAGCUGAAAGAUCUCAUCUCCUGAACUUUGGUCUAAUUAGCAGUUUUUAGAAUUUGGAUCUGAAAUGUCCCCCAAAAGCUUGUGUGUUGAAGGCUUGGUGCUAUUGGGAGGUGGUAGAAAUUUUAGGAUAUGGGGACAAUUGGAGAAAGAGCAUCACAGAGUAUGUUUUUGAAGGGUGUAUUUUGUCCCUUGACCGCUCCCCCUUCUUCCUGAUCACCAUGAGGUAAGCAACUUUGCUCCAUCAUACCCUCCUGACAUGGUGUUCUGCCUUACCACUGAUGGGGCCAAGCCACUAUGAACUGAAACUUCUGAAACGCUGACCCGAAAUAAAUAUUUUGUCUUUAGAGCUGUUUUUCUCAGGUGUUUUAUCAUAGUGGCAGAAAUCUAACACAGUAGUUGAUAUCAAUAACUUCUAUUAUGGGUAUUUCUAUUAUUUUAUUUCUAUAAGAAUUCAUAGUAUUAUGAAAGAAAUAUUUUCUAACACUAUUGAUCAGAAGGAAAGCUAAGGGGCUAGGAUUGUGGCUCAGUGUUAGAGUUCUUGCCUAGCAUGUGUGAAGCACUGGGUUUGAUUCUCAGCACUGCAUAUAAAUAAAUAAUUUAAAAAGUCCAUUGACAACUAAACUAAAAGGUAAUCUGUCUAAACAACUUUAAAAAAAACAUAUAAGUUCUUAUCAUUCUCUUUCUAGUAAACAGGGUUAAGUCAGAACUUGAAAAUCAAACAGAAAUGUGUCCAAGACUACAUCAAAGGUAUCUACUAGCAGAAAUUUGACCAUAAUUGUGAAAAUGGCACAUUUAAUAGAAAUCACUUUUUUCAUGUACAUGAUCACAAACCAACCAUUAAGAUAAUUGAUUCCCUUCUCAAAGAGCUGUCGUUUUGAUAGUAAAAAGAAAACUUCAGACAUUUUGAGAACAAGGGAGCAGAGGUGGCUUGUGCUACCAUGGCUGCUUUUUGUAGGAAUUCCUACUGUAUCAGAUUCCUACUGGGCUUUGACAGCCCUUGUCAGAAGUUGCUGUUUUUGAGCAAUUAUUUUUAGUCAACUCUUGUUGUUGGGGAUUUGUUUGUUUAAAAAAAAAUCUUCUUACAAUAUCUGUCUACUAGAACGCCCAGAUAUUGAUCUCCCUUUUGCCUUCGUGCUAAUAUGGGCCAUGUACCUGCACCACCAUGUGGAUGGCAACUCCCGCCAGAUUUGAGGCUCAGUGUGCUCAUGCUUUUUCUGUGUCCUCAACUUCUAAAUAGUUAUCUAAUAAGAUGUUGGGUCAGGAAUCUUUCCAUUCUGGUCCCCUUCUCUGCUAUUUUCACUCAUAGUUCCUUUUACAUUUUAGCAUAUAGCCUAGAAUACAACAUUAAGUAAGAAAUCUGUCCUCCUUCAGUUUAGAUACUGGAUUUGCAGUAUACAAAGAUUGUCAGUCUCAUUUGUUGCUUGUUCAGUGUUUGCUUAUUCACUAGGUUGAUCCAUACUGAAUUUAUGGUCAACAAAAACCCUAACAUGGCUUUAGAUCUGCAUUAUGUGGAUGAUCAUAUUUUGAAAUACAGCAUUCCUGCUCUCUUUCUACUUUAACACUUUCAUAAUUUCCCUUCUAAAUUUUCUUUCUUGAAUCCAAGGGUUAUUGAGAAGUAUUUUCAUCUAGGCAUUGAUUGUUCAGUUAUGUCUUUAUCAUUGAUUUGUAAUUUUAUUGCUUCAUAGAUAAAGUCUGUAUGAUAUGGAUUUUUAGGAAUUUACUGAGAUCUAGUUUAUAGCUUUGUUCAAGGUAACUUUUUCUAAAUUUUCCAAUUUUGCUUGAGGGAAAUGUUUAGUCUCUGUUGGCAUAAAUUUAUUAGAACUUUUUUUUCUUUAAUCUAUGAGCAAUAAGCUUUAUUGACUCUGCUUGAUUUAUCAGUAGUUAUUACUUACUAAUCUUCAACUGUGAUUAUUGGUGUAUACAUUUCCCUUAUAGUUUUGCCAGUAGUUGUUGUAUAACUUUUUCAGUAACAUUGUUAUUUGCAUAGAUUCACAAUGAUUAUACAUAAGUCUAGUGUUUUCUUCAAGAUCAUUUCUACUUUCAAUUUUGUCUGAUUCUUUCAUUCUUCUAUGUACACAGUCAUUUUUGCCCAUCCCUCUUUAUUCAAAUAUCAUGUGUUUUGCUGUUUAAUAUUUUUGAAUUAAAAAAAUCUAUCAAGGAGUCUUUUGAUCAGUGAUCACAACCAUUUUCAUUUCUCUUAAUUACUAUUAGAUUGGAAUCUACUUGAUAUUCUUUCUGUUUUUUUCCAAUUUAUUAAGGUUUUUACUUUUGCAACCUUCAAUUUUUUUCUCUUUUCCUAAUAUCUUCUAAAUAUAGUCUAUUUUUGGCUAGUUUGAAAAGUGGUUAUCCUUUAUUCAGAUUUAUGCUGAAGCUUAAUUUUUCUAAUCAGUUUUUAAGCUUAUAAAUAUCUAUGAAUUCUAUUUCAAUAAAUUAACCAAACCCUCAAUGUGAUCUAAAGUUUUCAUUCUUGAUUGUUAUGGACAUUUUCUUCCUUUUUAGGUCUUUCCUUUUCUUAUGGUCUUUGCUUUUUUAUACAAUAGAAUAUUUCCCCAAAAUAUUUAUUCACCUUAAUUCUCAUGUUUUCAGCAUCUUCCUGAAUACAUUUUUUUUUCUUGUUGGAGAACAUGUCAAAGGGGUUUUUACAUGAUAAGCUUUUUGAAGCCUUUUGUGUCUGAAGAGGUCUUUAUUUUACAUUCAGAAUUAAAUAAAACAUUGAGUUGGAAAUAAAAUUCUAGUUUAGUGUGCCUCUCCUUCAGUACAUUGAAAGCAGAUGGUCUACUUAAAUAUAAGGUUGUCCUUGAGAAUUUCAAAAUACUCUGAUUCUCACUUUUUGGAUUUUCCUCUCUGGAGCUUUAAAAAACUUCUAAUUUUUAUUUGAUGUUUUUAACUUUUCAGCAUAACCUAUCUCAGUGUUGAAUUAUUCCAAUGUUUUUAGUUUCCCAUUAUGUAUUCUUUAAAUCUAAGUUCUUAAAAUUUUCUUUUGUUCUGAAAAUUUUAAGUCAUUUUUUUUAACAUAUCUUGUCUCCCUGUUUUUUUUCUCUACAAAAUUCAUACAUUAGGUUGAUUUUUCUAGUCUUAAUAUUUUUGUAGCUUCUCUUUUACAUAUCUCUUCUUGAUAUUUUUGGUGGCCUCUUUUAAACUUGGCUGUGGUAGAUACUCUUGAUGACCUACCCAACAGCUAUUUCCCCUCCUUUCUUGCAUACUUUAUAUGACAACAUAACUAGACCCAAGGAAUAUAUCAAUAUUGAUUUAAGUGAAUCAAGAAAGUUCUGUUGACACUGAGCACUUUGAAUGAACAUAUGACCCUAGGAAUGUGCUUCCUGCAUUGACUUAUGGCAUUCUGCCAUUUUCACAAGACCAGAGACAGUGAAGGAGAGGGUAGUCAGCAUGACUGAUAGUGCCCACUUGCCAACAAAUGGAGUCUUGAGAGUCCUGAUUAGAUUUGUUUUUGAACAACUAAGAAAUUUUUUCUUUUUGUAUUCUGUGUGUCAUGUUGCUGUGCAUUUUGUAUCACCAUAUAUUUGAAUGUAUUAUUUUAUUUAGCUAUUUCUGGCUAAAAGGCUAUAGAGUCAAAUAUGCUGAGGACUUUGAGGCUACCUGUUUUUACUGUUAACUAUUGUUAAUACAGGUUGAGUAUCCUUUACUCCAAAUUCUUGGAACCAAAAAGCAUUUUGGAUUUUUUGAAUUUUGGAAUAUUUUCCAUAUACAUGAUAUAUUUUGGAAAUGCCAUUUUACUGAACUGUUAAAGGAAGUCAUCAAGAGAGCAAUAGGAGAUCUUUUACAUGGUAGGAAGUGAGAAAAGCUAGUACUAAUGGAUGGCAACAUUCUCAAUAGAGAAGAAAGUAUAGGACAGGCAAAGUGGUGCUGUAGCCUGUGGGGGGAGGUAUAGAAUGAAAACCCUUUUGGAUGUUGGACCUUCAUGUAGACAUUGGGGAGCAAUAGAAAUGCUUACUAAGUGCUUUCUUGUUCAAAGAUUAGAGGGGUUGCACAAAGGAAGGGACUCAGCUUGGCAGGGCAGUGCUUGAUUGUCAUAGUGCAGCAGAAUGAAUCACAAUAUCAAGAGUGAACAGCAUUCCGUAAAGUUCAAAUGGUAAUGUGCCAUUUCCUUGGGACCAAGAAGGCAAAGAUGAGAUACCAGUAUGACUGAUUGUGCCCUCUUUUUUUUUUUUUUUUGUACCACAGAUUGAAUCCAAGGGCACUUAACCACUGAGCCAUAUUCCCAGCCCUUUUUAUUAUUUAUUUUUUAUUUUUAGACAGGGUCUCAGUAGGUUGCUUACAGCCUUGCUAAGUUGCUGAGUCUGGCUUUGAACCUAUGAUCCUCCUGCCUUGGCCUCCCAAACUGCUGGGAUUUACAGGUGUGUGCAACCAUGCCCCGCUUGUGCCUUUUCAUUAAGAGUGUUAAAUAGACUCUUAGAAUUUAGAUUUGAUUUCAGAAAAUUAAGAAAUAUAUAUAUAUAUAUAUAUAUAUAUAUAUAUAUACACACACACACACACAUUUAUGUGUCACUGAGUACUUCGUUUCUAUUAUUGACAUAUGAGUACAUUAUUUUACUUUUUUUUUUUUAACCAAAGUUAUGGGCACUUUGAGGAAGACUGAAUCUUAAUUGCUUUUGUAAGGUCAGCAUGUCACAAGUUGAAUGCAAAGCAGGUAUCAACAAAUAUGUCCUGACUAGACAGAUAAGAGGAAUUCAGAGAGGUUGAUAUUGCUGUCUGCUGUAAGUCUUAUGAGCAUAAUUAGGUAACUGUGUAACUUUCAGACACUUUUUUCUUUUCUUUUCUUUUUUCUGGUAUAGUGCUAGUGAUCCAAACCAGAACCUGGUACAUGCAAGGCAAGUAUUCUGCCGCUCCGCUGAACUAUACCUACAGUCCCUUUCACAGGACUGAAUGAAUGACUUAGUGUAUUUGAUUCAUCAUGAUUUAGUUCUUUCUGAGGAAUGAAAUAAUGCACAAUUAAUUGCAAUGAAAAUUAUACUUAGCUUUUUUGGCACUAAAGUUUCUGUCAACACAGAGAAAUUGACAUGACCUUACUGAGAAUAUUAACACCAUAAAACAAUACACAGUUGAGUACUGUGUUCCUUACUGAAUCUCUGUCAUCAAUAUAUAAGAAAUGAUUGUUAGGUGCCCCCAUUAUUGUCCCUGUAAUUUUUAAGCCUGUGAUUCUUGAGCCAUAAAAUGUUUUUACCCUUUUGAUUUAAAUAUAUUUUCAUAUCCUAAUUUUACUUAUAAAAAUGGUAAGAUUUUUAGUUCACAUUUUUUAUGUAUGUGGAUUGUCCACAUUUUAUUAUUAAAUGUCAUAUGACAAGCACACAUCAUUCAUUAAUCAUGUAACCCCAGACUACAAUUAAUGGGUAGCAAUCACAUAUUAGUAUGCUAAAUGUUUUUCAGAUUU
This 5677-nucleotide long non-coding RNA is filed under the name Marmota monax (woodchuck). Lineage: Eukaryota; Metazoa; Chordata; Mammalia; Rodentia; Sciuridae. The record is from RNAcentral.